RNAcentral lists this ribosomal RNA (451 nucleotides) under uncultured bacterium. Its description in RNAcentral is "partial 16S ribosomal RNA". It matches the Rfam family "Bacterial small subunit ribosomal RNA", at positions 354 to 796 of the family's 1533-position model. The record is from RNAcentral.
GUGGGGAAUAUUGGACAAUGGGGGGAACCCUGAUCCAGCCAUGCCGCGUGUGUGAAGAAGGCCUUUUGGUUGUAAAGCACUUUAAGCGAGGAGGAGGCUACCGAGAUUAAUACUCUUGGAUAGUGGACGUUACUCGCAGAAUAAGCACCGGCUAACUCUGUGCCAGCAGCCGCGGUAAUACAGAGGGUGCAAGCGUUAAUCGGAUUUACUGGGCGUAAAGCGCGCGUAGGUGGCCAAUUAAGUCAAAUGUGAAAUCCCCGAGCUUAACUUGGGAAUUGCAUUCGAUACUGGUUGGCUAGAGUAUGGGGGAGGAUGGUAGAAUUCCAGGUGUAGCGGUGAAAUGCGUAGAGAUCUGGAGGAAUACCGAUGGCGAAGGCAGCCAUCUGGCCUAAUACUGACACUGAGGUGCGAAAGCAUGGGGAGCAAACAGGAUUAGAAACCCGUGUAGUCC